GGACGUAUUACCACUGCAGGUUUAUGGCUUAAAGUCUUAUUAUGAAAAACAGGGGCAUCUCUCAGAGGAUUUUUUAUUUAUUCGCAGCGAGGCAGGGAUUUAAUAGUUCGAACCUCUUUGAGUAUUUUGUUUAGCAGAGAAGUCUUUGUUUCUGAGUCACUCUGAAAGGAUGAAAAACUUAAAAUUUACAAGCACAAAACUCAAUAUGCAUUAUUGUACUUGAAAUAUGCUAAGAAAUAAGGAAAUGUGUCAGUAAUAGUGCGACAAUAGUUUUUCUUGGCACUUGUUAUGUGGAGUAAGUUUAUGUAAUCGUAUUUUUCCCCUCAUGAUUUGCUAUUUAAUUUCCCUCAUGUGUUCCUUCUCUUUGUCUCACAGUUUACUUCCUGAUUUGUUUUUAAUUCCUUGUUUUUUUCUAUAUUUUUUUUCCGCCUGGAUUAGUGUCUGAGUUCACCUGAUGUGAAUGAAUCCCCCUGCAGGCUGUCAUGUGUUUUUGUUGUUUCAUUGUGUGGUGCUUUUUGUUAUCUAAAUUAUUUAAAGCUAUUUGUUUUAACGUUCCUGUCUUGCCUAAAUUUUGGGAUCAUCUUUUGAAGAAUUGUGACAGGCAAGGUAACAGAGGUAAAACAGAGACUAGAAAGUCACAGCCAGAAUAUAUUUUUAAAAAAAUUUUUUAUGUUAAUAGAGUUCCUUAAAAUUUGGACAUAACAGCCGAAGUAUAGUUCUGAGUCAGCUUCCUAAAGAACAAAGAUAUUUGGGGUCACUUCUAGUUCUAUUGAAUCUUUAUGUUGAACAUGUUAAUUAAGUACAACAACAGAGAAAUAAAAAGAGACAAACAAACAAUGCAAAACAAACGAAAACAAAGCAACUACAACUACAAAUAACUUACAUGUUCAAAAAGGAGCAGGAAGACGUACACUGUAAAAACUGUGAUUGGGGUUAAUUAGAAUCUAAUAGGAGAGUAAUAGUAAUUAUUACUCAGUAAAAACGUGUAUGAGUAGUUUUAAUCAAAUCUAAGCAAAAUUCAACAAUUUUGAGAUGUUCAGUUAUUUAAAUUUACACAGUUUUGUUUGGGGUAAAUUCAGCAAUGGUUUGUUGAGUAGAUUUAAAAAAAAAAUGUUUGAGUACUAAAAAAAUUUAAGAAAUCUAAUAGAUUUAACUGAUGAAAGCAUUUUCAUUUUAAUCAUUGAACACUUCCGCCCAUAAUCCUUUGUGCCACGUGCAGAACACACGCGCUUCAUGAGUGG
Molecule: long non-coding RNA, 1241 nt
Organism: Astatotilapia calliptera (eastern happy)
Lineage: Eukaryota; Metazoa; Chordata; Actinopteri; Cichliformes; Cichlidae
Source: Ensembl